Molecule: ribosomal RNA, 468 nt
Filed under: uncultured bacterium
Lineage: Bacteria
Description: partial 16S ribosomal RNA
Rfam family: Bacterial small subunit ribosomal RNA
Source: RNAcentral
GACGAACGCUGGCGGCGUGCUUAACACAUGCAAGUCGAACGGAAAGGCCCUGCUUUUGUGGGGUGCUCGAGUGGCGAACGGGUGAGUAACACGUGUCUAACCUGCCCUUGCCUUUGGGACAACUUCAGGAAACUGGCGCUAAUACCGGAUAGGAGCUCCUGCAGCAUGGUGGGGGUUGGAAAGUUUCGGCGGUUGGGGAUGGACUCGCGGCUUAUCAGCUUGAUGGUGGGGUAGUGGCUUACCAAGGCUUUGACGGGUAGCCGGGCUGCGAGGGUGAGCGGCUACAUUGGGACUGAGAUACGACCCAGACUCCUAUGGGAGGCAGCAGAGGGGAAUAGUGCACAAUGGGCGGAAGCCUAAUGCAGCAACGCCGCGUGCGGGAUGACAGCCUUCGGGUUGUAAACCGCUUUCGCCUGUGACGAAGCGUGAGUGACGGUAAUGGGUAAAGAAGCACCGGCUAACUACGUG